Molecule: transfer RNA, 72 nt
Filed under: Staphylococcus aureus M1057
Lineage: Bacteria; Bacillati; Bacillota; Bacilli; Caryophanales; Staphylococcaceae
Description: tRNA-Pro
Rfam family: tRNA
About the family: Transfer RNA (tRNA) molecules are approximately 80 nucleotides in length.
Source: RNAcentral
GGGAAGUAGCUCAGCUUGGUAGAGCACUUGGUUUGGGACCAAGGGGUCGCAGGUUCGAAUCCUGUCUUCCCG